Molecule: ribosomal RNA, 754 nt
Filed under: uncultured archaeon
Lineage: Archaea
Description: bacterial SSU rRNA
Rfam family: Archaeal small subunit ribosomal RNA
Source: RNAcentral
AGUCAACAUGCCCAGAGGACGUGGAUAACCUCGGGAAACUGAGGAUAAACCGCGAUAGGUCAUAAUAUCUGGAAUGAUUUAUGGUUUAAAUCUAUAUGGCCUCUGGAUUGGACUGCGGCCGAUCAGGCUGUUGGUGAGGUAAUGGCCCACCAAACCUAAAACCGGUACGGGCUCUGAGAGGAGAAGCCCGGAGAUGGGCACUGAGACAAGGGCCCAGGCCCUAUGGGGCGCAGCAGGCGCGAAAACUCUGCAAUAAGCGAAAGCUUGACAGGGUUAUUCUGAGUGAUUUCCGCUAAGGAAAUCUUUUGGCACCUCUAAAAAUGGUGCAGAAUAAGGGGUGGGCAAGCCUGGUGUCAGCCGCCGCGGUAAUACCAGCACCCCGAGUGGUCGGGACGAUUAUUGGGCCUAAAGCAUCCGUAGCCGGUUCUACAAGUCUUCCGUUAAAUCCACCUGCUUAACAGAUGGGCUGCGGAGGAUACUAUGGAGCUAGGAGGCGGGAGAGGCAAGCGGUACUUAGUGGGUAGGGGUAAAAUCCGUUGAUCCAUUGAAGACCACCAGUGGCGAAGGCGGCUUGCCAGAACGCACUCGACGGUGAGGGAUGAAAGCUGGGGGAGCAAACCGGAUUAGAUACCCGGGUAGUCCCAGCUGUAAACGAUGCAGACUCGGUGAUGAAUAGGCUUCGUGCCUAUUCAGUGCCGCAGGGAAGCCGUUAAGUCUGCCGCCUGGGGAGUACGGUCGCAAGACUGAAACUUUA